CGAGAUGUAGCUCAGCCGGUAGAGCACUCGCUUCGGGAGCGAGGAGUCGCACGUUCGAAUCGUGCCAUCUCGA
RNAcentral lists this transfer RNA (73 nucleotides) under Gemmatimonadaceae bacterium. Its description in RNAcentral is "tRNA-Pro". It matches the Rfam family "tRNA". From Rfam's summary of the family: Transfer RNA (tRNA) molecules are approximately 80 nucleotides in length. Their secondary structure includes four short double-helical elements and three loops (D, anti-codon, and T loops). Further hydrogen bonds mediate the characteristic L-shaped molecular structure. tRNAs have two regions of fundamental functional importance: the anti-codon, which is responsible for specific mRNA codon recognition, and the 3' end, to which the tRNAs corresponding amino acid is attached (by aminoacyl-tRNA synthetases). tRNAs cope with the degeneracy of the genetic code in two manners: having more than one tRNA (with a specific anti-codon) for a particular amino acid; and 'wobble' base-pairing, i.e. permitting non-standard base-pairing at the 3rd anti-codon position. Lineage: Bacteria; Pseudomonadati; Gemmatimonadota; Gemmatimonadia; Gemmatimonadales; Gemmatimonadaceae. The record is from RNAcentral.